UAAUGAGGCACAUGGAGAACAAGAUGACGUGUACAAAGUGAAAUCUUCGUAUAACAACAUUCACAUGAUUAAGAAGUAUGGUUUCAAGACAAAAAAAAAUGUUAAUCAGUCAAUGUAGAGUGAAGUGUGUUUAGGCGAUUAUGAUCACUUCAAUCGACGUCAUCAAUUAUAUUAUCUAUUGGGAUAUAUAUAGUGACUAUAGGAUAGAACAAUGACAUAUAACAACGCAUUACCUUCAAUCUUAUUCGCCAAACAUCACCUUAUGUAAUAUAAGUUGUUGCCAAAACAAAGUAAAACAUGUACAUUCAUUUAUCAAGCAUUUCGUUGAAGACAAUGAAUCCUUUUUAUCUGACUUUGUUUGAAGAUAUUUAGA
Molecule: long non-coding RNA, 373 nt
Filed under: Mytilus galloprovincialis (Mediterranean mussel)
Lineage: Eukaryota; Metazoa; Mollusca; Bivalvia; Mytilida; Mytilidae
Source: RNAcentral